Dreissena polymorpha is the source of this 869-nucleotide long non-coding RNA. RefSeq lists it as uncharacterized. NCBI's taxonomy places the organism in Eukaryota, Metazoa, Mollusca, Bivalvia, Myida, Dreissenidae. The transcript is spliced from 3 exons. The record is from RefSeq and is a predicted model, not a curated record.
UCACUCUGACACUAAUCCUUUAAUAUUACUAACCCAUGCAAGAAUGUGAGCGAGUAUCAGUGUGGGUGCUAAUUGGUGAGUGAAUGAUUUACUAACACUGCAUGUUUUUAUGUGAGAUGUUUUAACUAUAGAGUUUCAAUGGUUUUAUACUCUAGUUUAUGAUCAUUCCAUCAUAAAGUCUCGUAAGAGAUAGAUGUUGGAAUUUUCCAUUUGUCAGCAUAUAUUUAUUUUAAAACUUAAGUCCUCAGGUCGCUGGACAUCAUUUUCAAUAUUAUAGACAUCUAUAAAAUAAAGAAUAUAUAAGACAACCCACUUGUGUUCUCUACACACAACCCGGCUACAGCAUAACGGCGCUAGAACGGCAUUGACUCAUCUAUGUCUAGUAACUGUCGAUGUAGUAGUCAUCAACAGAUCCUUGCGAGUCUUGGUCAUGAUUGUAGUCGCUGUUCUCAGAGACGGGACGUCGAAGUUGUUGCAUCCGCCCGAAUUUAACGUCUGGGCACUCGUGGCAGACGACUGUGUUAAGAUUACAAACGUUCGUUGUGUCUUCUAAAAGCAGAUAGUAAAAAAAUGUCAACUAUUUAAAACACAAGUUUGUUAUUUUUAUUUCUGGUUCGUGUUGAAUUUGGUUCAUACACAUUCCGUUUCCUCAUAUCAGAUGUCAGUGCAAUGAUUUAGAGUAUGUAAGCCAGAAGUUAAUAACUUUUAGUUUUGACAAUUGACAAAUGCACACAAACACAACAUUGAAAAACAGAACGCGGAUGAAUAUAGCUAAGGGUCCUCCGCUUGGUGAGCAAAGCUUUGUGAUUAUACACCAAUAUGUAAUCUGUUUAGUGUCUUAAAUAAAUGCUAGUUGGUUGUUACCUUAA